Molecule: ribosomal RNA, 253 nt
Filed under: uncultured bacterium
Lineage: Bacteria
Description: partial 16S ribosomal RNA
Rfam family: Bacterial small subunit ribosomal RNA
Source: RNAcentral
GACGAACCGAGCGAACGUUAUUCGGAAUCACUGGGCUUAAAGCGCGUGUAGGCGGAUCGUUAAGUGCCUUGUGAAAUCCUGCGGCUCAACCGCAGAACUGCUGGGCAUACUGGCGAUCUUGGGCCACUCAGGGGUCACUGGAACAAGCGGUGGAGCGGUGAAAUGCGUAGAUAUCGCUUGGAACGCCAAAGGUGAAGACAGGUGACUGGGGGUGUGCCGACGCUGAGACGCGAAAGCCAGGGGAGCAAACGGG